GUGCUUGCUUUGGCAGUACAUACCCUAAAAUUGGAAUAAUACAGAGAAGAUUAGUACGGCCCCUGUGCAAGGACAACAUGCAAGUUUGUAAAGCAUUCCAUAUUUUU
This is a small nuclear RNA of Rhinolophus ferrumequinum (greater horseshoe bat), 107 nucleotides long. The record is from Ensembl. Lineage: Eukaryota; Metazoa; Chordata; Mammalia; Chiroptera; Rhinolophidae.